CAAUAGCGUAUAUUAAAGUUGUUGCAGUUAAAAAGCUCGUAGUUGGAUUUCUGGCUUGUGACCCGGGUCGGCCCGAAAUGGGUCUGUACUAGGAGUUGCGCGCCAUCCUUGGGGCGAGGCGUUCUACCCUUAAUUGGGCGGUUCGUUGAGCCCCAUCGUUUACUGUGAACAAAUUAGAGUGUUUAAAGCAGGCAUAUGCCUUGAAUACAUUAGCAUGGAAUAAUAAGAUAGGACUUCGGUAAUAUUUUGUUGGUUCAUUAUUGAGGUAAUGAUUAAUAGGGAUAGUUGGGGGUAUUCAUAUUCAAUUGUCAGAGGUGAAAUUCUUGGAUUUAUGGAAGAUGAACAACUGCGAAAGCAUUUACCAAGGAUGUUUUCAUUAA
This 380-nucleotide ribosomal RNA is filed under the name uncultured eukaryote. RNAcentral's name for it is "partial 18S ribosomal RNA". It matches the Rfam family "Eukaryotic small subunit ribosomal RNA", at positions 592 to 976 of the family's 1831-position model. The record is from RNAcentral.